CGCAGGAACUUUGUUGACUCUAGAGAGCCUCGGGCAAAUCGCACAUGCCCGUGGAGGCGACUUUUCAUGUGGAUGUCAUCCAUAUCAACUUUCGAUGCCAGUUUCUGCGCCUACCCUGGUGACCACGGGUAACGGGGAAUAAGGGUUCCAUUCCGUACAGGGACACUGAGAAACGGCUACCACAUUCAAGGAAGGCAGCAAGCGCGCAAAUGACCCACUCCCGACGCGGGAAGGUAGUGAUG
This is a non-coding RNA of Pelobates cultripes (western spadefoot toad), 242 nucleotides long. NCBI's taxonomy places the organism in Eukaryota, Metazoa, Chordata, Amphibia, Anura, Pelobatidae. The record is from the annotation of a GenBank genome assembly.